Molecule: long non-coding RNA, 1604 nt
Organism: Nyctereutes procyonoides (raccoon dog)
Lineage: Eukaryota; Metazoa; Chordata; Mammalia; Carnivora; Canidae
Exons: 4
Source: RefSeq, a predicted model, not a curated record
CCCCCGCCCCCCGCAAGGACGCGGCGUUAGCACCGAAGAGCCCCGCAGGCCGUGCCCGGUGCAGGGCAUCAAAGGAAUGGAAAAGCAAACAGGAAUGGUUAGAAUGACCAGCCGUAUGUAUAAAGUACUGAAGCCGAAUGUCAAGCACCCCCUCGGCCCCCAACAAACAACACACACCUAACCAGCUAGAGUUCCCAGCUCUGGGAACCUUCCUUGCCAGAGGCUCCCUGAGGCCUGUACAGCUGGACUCGUAUGGGCUUGCUUUGCCAUCAUCAGAUGGAGCACUAGUCAGCCAAUAAGUAAGCCAUUACUCAAUGGGUUAAGGUGGAAAACGGACCUUCAGUGCUCAAAAUGUGGCAACUGGCCGCCAAAUGACAUGCCCAGACAGAGGGCUCCAGGGACAGAAGCUCCUGUACGGUGUCACCAUCGGAAUCGACAAGAGGGCGAGGCUGAUGAGUCAAAAGGCAGAGGAGUAUAGAGGAAAGGAACCUGAUAUUUGGUGUCAGGAGGUCUGGCCUGAAGCGCCUGCCCCACCACUACUUCCUGAAUGGCCGUGACAGUGGUUCAGCCUCUCAAAACUUCGGUUUCCUCCUCUGUAAAGUGCAAGUCGUCAUCCCGGCCCCUGGGUCACUAACGGAACCGAUAUGUGGCUGGAAUGAAAUAAGAUUGUUGCAGCAGUGGCCCUCAAUUGGUUCAUACCUCCCUGAAUCCACACCGUUGGGUGAUACCUUUCACAUUGACUCCAGGCGUGGCCAUGUAACUUGCUUUAACCGGAGACAAGAGCAAAUAUGACCCAGCAGAAAUUUUAAAGUGAUUGCAUGUUGAAGCUUGCCCUCCCAUAUGCCCUUUGGUACCCCAAGAACGCCGUGAUGAGAUCGCCGUGCAAAGCCUGGGCUUGAGGUUGAGACAGCAUAUGGAGCAGAGACAAGCCAUCCCAGCAGAGUCCUCCUCAACAAACAAGCCUAUCAAUCUCCAGCUCGGUAUGGCCACCUGUCCUCCUUAGAACCACCGGAUUUCAAGGAAAAUAGGAUGAAGCUUGCCAUCUCCCCUGACUUCACAUCUGGCUUCAGCCCAAAGUUACUCAAAACUUGAAUUUAGGUAGGAUUUAUGUAAAGACUUGUAUUUCUUAUUGAUUGAGAGAGAGAGAGAGAGAGAGACAGAGACAGAGAGAGUGUACACGCGCAAGUUGAAGGGAUUGGAAGAGCAGAGGGAGAGGGAGAGAGAGAAUCUCCAGGAGACUCCCCACUGAGCAGGGCACCCCAUGUGGGGCUGGAUCUCAUGACCAGAGAUCAUGACCUGAACAGAAACCAAGAGUCGGGCACUUAGUUGACUGAGCCACCCAGGUGCCCCAAGACUUGUAUUUCUUUAAAGAGGGAUUUGGGGACCAGGAAAGAACCAGCAUGCCUGCAAUAUAAGUAACAGCUCUACUGCCAAUUUGAGAAAAAGGGAAACUGAGGCAGGGCACAGUAAAUGUGAUGUGUGCCAGUACUUUUGCAGCCAGUACUUUCGACUUCCCGUAAGCCAAUUCACAUCAAAACCAUAUAAUCAUAUGCCCAAACCAAACUGUAGCAUCUCUGUGUGGAUUCCUCUAAAUAAAGUGCCGC